ACGCUCUGUUUGGCUUCUCUGUUUUACAACAUGAAGACGGCGGAGAGAAAUCGAUGCUGGUCGGUGCUCCGUGGGACGGGCCGCCCAACAACAGGAAAGGAGAUGUUUACAAAUGCAUUGUGGGAGAGGAGAGGAACUCAAACUGCAGCAAAAUAAAUCUAGGUGAGACUGCUCUCCAGAACGUUUCUAAAAACCUGAGGAAUUCUCACCUGGGAAUGACGCUCACUCCAGACUCGCCUGAUGGAUUCCUG
This is a long non-coding RNA of Notothenia coriiceps (black rockcod), 251 nucleotides long. RefSeq lists it as uncharacterized. The transcript has 3 exons. The record is from RefSeq and is a predicted model, not a curated record. Lineage: Eukaryota; Metazoa; Chordata; Actinopteri; Perciformes; Nototheniidae.